This 459-nucleotide ribosomal RNA is filed under the name uncultured bacterium. RNAcentral describes it as "partial 16S ribosomal RNA". It matches the Rfam family "Bacterial small subunit ribosomal RNA", at positions 338 to 795 of the family's 1533-position model. The record is from RNAcentral.
GCUACGGGUGGCAGCAGUGAUGAAUAUUGGUCAAUGGCCGAAAGUCUGAACCAGCCAAGCCGCGUGAAGGACGAAGGUGCCAAGCGUUGUAAACUUCUUUUGUCAAGGGACAAAAUCAGACUCGAGAGCCUGACCGAGGGUACUUGAAGAAAAAGCAUCGGCUAACUCCGUGCCAGCAGCCGCGGUAAUACGGGGGAUGCGAGCGUUAUCCGGAUUUAUUGGGGUUAAAGGGUGCGUAGGCGGUCUGUUAAGUCAGCGGUAAAAGGCCGGGGUCCAACCCAGGCGAGCCGUUGAAACUGGCUGUCUUGAGAUGUCGAGAGGUAUGCGGAAUGCGCAGUGUAGCGGUGAAAUGCUUAGAUAUUGCGAAGAACUCCGAUUGCGAAGGCAGCAUACCGGCGGCGAUCUGACGCUGAGGCACGAAAGCGUGGGUAUCGAACAGGAUUAGAUACCCUAGUAGUC